AGAUUGAACGCUGGCGGCCAGGCCUAACACAUGCAASUCGAGCGGAAACGAGUUAUCUGAACCUGGGGAACGAUAACGGCGUCGAGCGGCGGACGGGUGAGUAAUGCCUAGGAAAUUGCCUUGAUGUGGGGGAUAACCAUUGGAAACGAUGGCUAAUACCGCAUGAUGCCUACGGGCCAAAGAGGGGGACCUUCGGGCCUCUCGCGUCAAGAUAUGCCUAGGUGGGAUUAGCUAGUUGGUGAGGUAAUGGCUCACCAAGGCGACGAUCCCUAGCUGGUCUGAGAGGAUGAUCAGCCACACUGGAACUGAGACACGGUCCAGACUCCUACGGGAGGCAGCAGUGGGGAAUAUUGCACAAUGGGCGCAAGCCUGAUGCAGCCAUGCCGCGUGUAUGAAGAAGGCCUUCGGGUUGUAAAGUACUUUCAGCAGUGAGGAAGGGGGUGUCGUUAAUAGCGGCAUCUCUUGACGUUAGCUGCAGAAGAAGCACCGGCUAACUCCGUGCCAGCAGCCGCGGUAAUACGGAGGGUGCGAGCGUUAAUCGGAAUUACUGGGCGUAAAGCGCAUGCAGGUGGUUUGUUAAGUCAGAUGUGAAAGCCCGGGGCUCAACCUCGGAACUGCAUUUGAAACUGGCAAACUAGAGUACUGUAGAGGGGGGUAGAAUUUCAGGUGUAGCGGUGAAAUGCGUAGAGA
Molecule: ribosomal RNA, 690 nt
Filed under: Vibrio sp. KE1-06
Lineage: Bacteria; Pseudomonadati; Pseudomonadota; Gammaproteobacteria; Vibrionales; Vibrionaceae
Description: bacterial SSU rRNA
Rfam family: Bacterial small subunit ribosomal RNA
Source: RNAcentral